AUUGAACGCUGGCGGCAGGCCUAACACAUGCAAGUCGAGCGGAUGAAGGGUGCUUGCUCCGGGAUUCAGCGGCGGACGGGUGAGUAAUGCCCAGGAAUCUGCCGGGCUGGGGGGUAGAACGUCCGCAAACGGGCGCGAAUACCGCAUACGACCUGAGGGUGCAACUGGGGGAGCUUCGGACCUCACGCUAUCAGAUGAGCCUAGGUCGGAUUAGCUAGUUGGUGGGGUAAAGGCCUACCAAGGCGACGAUCCGUAACUGGUCUGAGAGGAUGAUCGGUCACACUGGAACUGAGACACGGUCCAGACUCCUACGGGAGGCAGCAGUGGGGAAUAUUGGACAAUGGGCGAAAGCCUGAUCCAGCCAUGCCGCGUGUGUGAAGAAGGUCUUCGGAUUGUAAAGCACUUUAAGUUGGGAGGAAGGGCAGUAAGUUAAUACCUUGCUGUUUUGACGUUACCAACAGAAUAAGCACCGGCUAACUUCGUG
RNAcentral lists this ribosomal RNA (484 nucleotides) under uncultured bacterium. RNAcentral's name for it is "partial 16S ribosomal RNA". It matches the Rfam family "Bacterial small subunit ribosomal RNA", at positions 30 to 507 of the family's 1533-position model. The record is from RNAcentral.